Molecule: unclassified non-coding RNA, 200 nt
Filed under: Pezoloma sp.
Lineage: Eukaryota; Fungi; Ascomycota; Leotiomycetes; Helotiales; Discinellaceae
Description: partial internal transcribed spacer 2
Source: RNAcentral
UUAAGUUCAGCGGGUAUCCCUACCUGAUCCGAGGUCAACCUUAAAAAAUGGGGGAUUUUGGCAAGCAACCACCGGAACCCUAUAGCGAGAAAAAUUACUACGCUUAGAGCCAGAUGGCACCGCCACUGAUUUUAGGGGCCGAGAAACCUCGAACCCCAAUACCAAGCCAAAGCUUGAGUGGUUAUAAUGACGCUCGAACA